GAUGAACGCUGGCGGCGUGCCUAAUACAUGCAAGUCGAGCGAACGGACGAGAAGCUUGCUUCUCUGAUGUUAGCGGCGGACGGGUGAGUAACACGUGGAUAACCUACCUAUAAGACUGGGAUAACUUCGGGAAACCGGAUCUAAUACCGGAUGAUAUUUUGAACCGCAUGGUUCAAAGGUGAAAGACGGCCUUGCUGUCACUUAUAGCUGGAUCCGCGCUGCAUUAGCUAGUUGGUAGGGUAACGGCUUACCAAGGCAACGAGGCAUAGCCGACCUGAGAGGGUGAUCGGCCACACUGGAACUGAGACACGGUCCAGACUCCUACGAGAGGCAGCAGUAGGGAAUCUUCCGCAAUGGUCGAAAGCCUGACGGAGCAACGCCGCGUGAGUGAUGACGGUCUUCGGAUCGUAAAACUCUGUUAUUAGGGAAGAACAUAUGUGUAAGUAACUGUGCACAUAUUGACGGUACCUAAUCAGAAAGCCACGGCUAACUACGUG
This 497-nucleotide ribosomal RNA is filed under the name uncultured bacterium. Its description in RNAcentral is "partial 16S ribosomal RNA". It matches the Rfam family "Bacterial small subunit ribosomal RNA", at positions 28 to 507 of the family's 1533-position model. The record is from RNAcentral.